UACGGAGGGUGCGAGCGUUGUCCGGAAUCAUUGGGCGUAAAGGGCGCGUAGGUGGCCUGUGCAAGCGUGCGGUGAAAGCUCGGGGCUCAACUCCGGGUCGGCCGUGCGAACUGCUGGGCUCGAGCACUGUAGAGGCAGGCGGAAUUCCGGGUGUAGCGGUGGAAUGCGUAGAGAUCCGGAAGAACACCGGUGGCGAAGGCGGCCUGCUGGGCAGUGGCUGACACUGAGGCGCGACAGCGUGGGGAGCAAACAGG
Molecule: ribosomal RNA, 254 nt
Filed under: uncultured bacterium
Lineage: Bacteria
Also listed under: 1 other name
Description: partial 16S ribosomal RNA
Rfam family: Bacterial small subunit ribosomal RNA
Source: RNAcentral